RNAcentral lists this ribosomal RNA (250 nucleotides) under uncultured bacterium. Its description in RNAcentral is "partial 16S ribosomal RNA". It matches the Rfam family "Bacterial small subunit ribosomal RNA", at positions 57 to 305 of the family's 1533-position model. The record is from RNAcentral.
GCAAGUCGAGCGGUAACAUUUCCAGCUUGCUGGAAGAUGACGAGCGGCGGACGGGUGAGUAAUGCUUGGGGAUCUGCCCAGUCGAGGGGGAUAACAGUUGGAAACGACUGCUAAUACCGCAUACGCCCUACGGGGGAAAGGAGGGGACCUUAGGGCCUUUCGCGAUUGGAUGAACCCAAGUGGGAUUAGCUAGUUGGUAAGGUAAUGGCUUACCAAGGCGACGAUCCCUAGCUGGUCUUAGAGGAUGACC